CCUCUUUUAGAAAAAGUUGUUUAAAAUAUGAUGUAACUCUCCUCUUUUUGAGUACAAAAUUUUAAGUUUUCAAAGUAUUUGUAUAGAAGAACUAUACAAAUUCUUGGUAUUUCUCUUCUUUCUUUUCUACAUCAGUAAAAUGACCCCUUGUCUGAGGGAGGGUUGUUCUCAACCUGAUAAUAAAAACACAGGGUCAAAGUAC
This 202-nucleotide long non-coding RNA is filed under the name Mytilus galloprovincialis (Mediterranean mussel). Lineage: Eukaryota; Metazoa; Mollusca; Bivalvia; Mytilida; Mytilidae. The record is from RNAcentral.